GGUAGUAUGCCGGAGUGGUUAACGGGUAGAAUUUGAACCUCUUUCUCAAGCCAUUCUAUGGGUUCGCCCUCGCAGGUUCGAAUCCUGCUACUAUCG
RNAcentral lists this transfer RNA (96 nucleotides) under Cordyceps militaris. RNAcentral's name for it is "tRNA-Ser". It matches the Rfam family "tRNA". Rfam says of the family: Transfer RNA (tRNA) molecules are approximately 80 nucleotides in length. Their secondary structure includes four short double-helical elements and three loops (D, anti-codon, and T loops). The record is from RNAcentral. RNAcentral also lists the same sequence under 1 other name. Lineage: Eukaryota; Fungi; Ascomycota; Sordariomycetes; Hypocreales; Cordycipitaceae.